AACGAGGGGUCCCCGCAAUGGAGACCUGUGAACCUGGUCAGAGACGAAAGUCAGCAGCCAUAAGCAGUCAUCUUCUUGUGCGGUGGGCCUCUCGUUGCA
Molecule: signal recognition particle RNA, 99 nt
Filed under: Pirellulales bacterium
Lineage: Bacteria; Pseudomonadati; Planctomycetota; Planctomycetia; Pirellulales
Description: signal recognition particle sRNA small type
Rfam family: Bacterial small signal recognition particle RNA
About the family: The signal recognition particle (SRP) is a universally conserved ribonucleoprotein involved in the co-translational targeting of proteins to membranes. Archaeal SRP consists of a 7S RNA and homologues of the eukaryotic SRP19 and SRP54 proteins.
Source: RNAcentral